GGUUGUGGCUCAGUGGUAGAGCGUGUGCCUAGCAUGUGUGAGACACUGGGUUCGAUUCUCAGCACCA
RNAcentral lists this transfer RNA (67 nucleotides) under Marmota monax (woodchuck). RNAcentral's name for it is "tRNA.Ala". It matches the Rfam family "tRNA". From Rfam's summary of the family: Transfer RNA (tRNA) molecules are approximately 80 nucleotides in length. Their secondary structure includes four short double-helical elements and three loops (D, anti-codon, and T loops). Further hydrogen bonds mediate the characteristic L-shaped molecular structure. tRNAs have two regions of fundamental functional importance: the anti-codon, which is responsible for specific mRNA codon recognition, and the 3' end, to which the tRNAs corresponding amino acid is attached (by aminoacyl-tRNA synthetases). tRNAs cope with the degeneracy of the genetic code in two manners: having more than one tRNA (with a specific anti-codon) for a particular amino acid; and 'wobble' base-pairing, i.e. permitting non-standard base-pairing at the 3rd anti-codon position. Lineage: Eukaryota; Metazoa; Chordata; Mammalia; Rodentia; Sciuridae. The record is from RNAcentral.